Molecule: transfer RNA, 73 nt
Filed under: Cordylochernes scorpioides
Lineage: Eukaryota; Metazoa; Arthropoda; Arachnida; Pseudoscorpiones; Chernetidae
Description: tRNA-Thr
Source: RNAcentral
GUCCAGGGAUGGGAAACGAACCCACAACGUUCCGCUUACCGGGCAGAUGCCAUGUCCACUAGGCUACCCUGGA